This 254-nucleotide ribosomal RNA is filed under the name uncultured bacterium. Its description in RNAcentral is "partial 16S ribosomal RNA". It matches the Rfam family "Bacterial small subunit ribosomal RNA", at positions 524 to 776 of the family's 1533-position model. The record is from RNAcentral.
UACGGGGGGAGCAAGCGCUGUUCGGAUUUACUGGGCGUAAAGGGCGCGUAGGCGGCCACCGCAAGUCGACUGUGAAAUCUCCGGGCUUAACUCGGAAAGGUCAGCCGAUACUGCGGGGCUAGAGUGCAGAAGGGGCAACUGGAAUUCUCGGUGUAGCGGUGAGAUGCGUAGAUAUCGAGAGGAACACCUGCGGCGAAGGCGGGUUGCUGGGCUGACACUGACGCUGAGGCGCGAAAGCUAGGGGAGCGAACGGG